UGAGGUGUAGCCCAAAGGUAGAGUGCAUGCUUAGCAUGCACGAGGCCCUGGGCUCAACCCCAGCACCCAAA
This 71-nucleotide transfer RNA is filed under the name Marmota monax (woodchuck). RNAcentral describes it as "tRNA.Ala". It matches the Rfam family "tRNA". From Rfam's summary of the family: Transfer RNA (tRNA) molecules are approximately 80 nucleotides in length. Lineage: Eukaryota; Metazoa; Chordata; Mammalia; Rodentia; Sciuridae. The record is from RNAcentral.